Molecule: transfer RNA, 66 nt
Filed under: Fructilactobacillus sanfranciscensis
Lineage: Bacteria; Bacillati; Bacillota; Bacilli; Lactobacillales; Lactobacillaceae
Rfam family: tRNA
About the family: Transfer RNA (tRNA) molecules are approximately 80 nucleotides in length. Their secondary structure includes four short double-helical elements and three loops (D, anti-codon, and T loops).
Source: RNAcentral
GGGCGUAGUUUAGUGGUAAAAUUUAAGCUUCCCAAGCUUACGUCGCGGGUUCGAUUCCCGUCGCCC